Molecule: transfer RNA, 76 nt
Filed under: Anoxybacter fermentans
Lineage: Bacteria; Bacillati; Bacillota; Clostridia; Halanaerobiales
Description: tRNA-Val
Rfam family: tRNA
About the family: Transfer RNA (tRNA) molecules are approximately 80 nucleotides in length. Their secondary structure includes four short double-helical elements and three loops (D, anti-codon, and T loops).
Source: RNAcentral
GGGCGCAUAGCUCAGUUGGGAGAGCACCUGCCUUACAAGCAGGGGGUCAUAGGUUCGAGUCCUGUUGCGCCCACCA